This 70-nucleotide transfer RNA is filed under the name human gut metagenome. It matches the Rfam family "tRNA". From Rfam's summary of the family: Transfer RNA (tRNA) molecules are approximately 80 nucleotides in length. Their secondary structure includes four short double-helical elements and three loops (D, anti-codon, and T loops). The record is from RNAcentral.
CGAAAUAGCUCAAUUGGUAGAGCAACUGUCUCGUAAUCAGUAGGUUGUAGGUUCAAGUCCUAUUUUUGGC